UUGUAGCUGACCUGGAAUUGUG
RNAcentral lists this non-coding RNA (22 nucleotides) under Arabidopsis thaliana (thale cress). Lineage: Eukaryota; Viridiplantae; Streptophyta; Magnoliopsida; Brassicales; Brassicaceae. The record is from RNAcentral.